GCUGGGAGUGGUGGCCCAUGCCUGAAAUCCCAGCUGCUAAGGAGGCUGAGGCAGGAAGAUCACUAGUUCAAAGCAAGCCUCAGCAAAAGUGAGGCACUGUCUUUA
Molecule: small RNA, 105 nt
Filed under: Marmota monax (woodchuck)
Lineage: Eukaryota; Metazoa; Chordata; Mammalia; Rodentia; Sciuridae
Source: RNAcentral